UACCAGCACCCCGAGUGGUCGGGGCGAUUAUUGGGCCUAAAGCAUCCGUAGCCGGUUCUGCAAGUCCCCCGUUAAAUCCAGCCGCUCAACGGUUGGGCUGCGGAGGAUACUACGUGGCUAGGAGGCGGGAGAGGCAAGCGGUACUCAGUGGGUAGGGGUAAAAUCCUUUGAUCCAUUGAAGACCACCAGUGGCGAAGGCGGCUUGCCAGAACGCGCUCGACGGUGAGGGAUGAAAGCUGGGGGAGCAAACCGG
This 253-nucleotide ribosomal RNA is filed under the name uncultured bacterium. RNAcentral's name for it is "partial 16S ribosomal RNA". It matches the Rfam family "Archaeal small subunit ribosomal RNA", at positions 474 to 727 of the family's 1478-position model. The record is from RNAcentral.